GACGAACGCUGGCGGCGUGCUUAACACAUGCAAGUCGAACGGAAAGGCCCUGCUUUUGUGGGGUGCUCGAGUGGCGAACGGGUGAGUAACACGUGAGUAACCUGCCCUUGACUUUGGGAUAACUUCAGGAAACGGGGGCUAAUACCGGAUAGGAGCUCCUGCUGCAUGGUGGGGGUUGGAAAGUUUCGGCGGUUGGGGAUGGACUCGCGGCUUAUCAGCUUGUUGGUGGGGUAGUGGCUUACCAAGGCUUUGGCGGGUAGCCGGCCUGAGAGGGUGAACGGCCAAAUUGGGAAUGAGAUACGGCCCAGAAUCCUACGGGGGGCAGCAGUGGGGAAUAUUGCACAAUGGGCGGAAGCCUGAUGCAGCAACGCCGCGUGCGGGAUGACGGCCUUCGGGUUGUAAACCGCUUUCGCCUGUGACGAAGCGUGAGUGACGGUAAUGGGUAAAGAAGCACCGGCUAACUACGUG
RNAcentral lists this ribosomal RNA (468 nucleotides) under uncultured bacterium. RNAcentral's name for it is "partial 16S ribosomal RNA". It matches the Rfam family "Bacterial small subunit ribosomal RNA", at positions 28 to 507 of the family's 1533-position model. The record is from RNAcentral.